UACGGGGGGGGCGAGCGUUGUUCGGAAUUACUGGGCGUAAAGGGCGCGUAGGCGGCGUGGUAAGUCACUUGUGAAAUCUCUGAGCUUAACUCAGAACGGCCAAGUGAUACUGCUGUGCUAGAGUGCAGAAGGGGCAAUCGGAAUUCUUGGUGUAGCGGUGAAAUGCGUAGAUAUCAAGAGGAACACCUGAGGUGAAGACGGGUUGCUGGGCUGACACUGACGCUGAGGCGCGAAAGCCAGGGAAGCAAACGGG
RNAcentral lists this ribosomal RNA (253 nucleotides) under uncultured bacterium. RNAcentral describes it as "partial 16S ribosomal RNA". It matches the Rfam family "Bacterial small subunit ribosomal RNA", at positions 524 to 776 of the family's 1533-position model. The record is from RNAcentral.